AGCUUACAAUUGAUCUGACAGUUACACUGAGCUUCACUCCAGUGAACCACCCAAAAUGAAUGUUCCAUGGACAGACUAUUACUAUUCUUGCUGGAAGGAAGCCCAAGAAUGUGCUGGGGCAAAAGACUGUUUGUCUGCAGAAAAGAGCAGAAUUCACUCGUACAAGCAUUCAGCACAGAGCUGUCAGCCAACUGAAGGAUUCUGGGGAAAGGAAUUUCCAUG
Xenopus tropicalis (tropical clawed frog) is the source of this 222-nucleotide long non-coding RNA. RefSeq lists it as uncharacterized. The record is from RefSeq and is a predicted model, not a curated record. The transcript is spliced from 3 exons. NCBI's taxonomy places the organism in Eukaryota, Metazoa, Chordata, Amphibia, Anura, Pipidae.